UAGAGAGAGACAUGCGCGCAUAUCAAUAAGCGGAGGAAAAGAAACUAACUAAGGAUUCCCUCAGUAACGGCGAGUGAAGCGGGAAGAGCUCAAAUUUGAAAUCUUCAAGGUUUUACCUUGACGAAUUGUAGUUUAAAGAAGUGUUUUCUGCUGAAGUUUUGGUAAAAGUUCUUUGGAAUAGGACAUCAUAGAGGGUGAGAAUCCCGUAUUUGACCAUUAUUUUCAGCUUUGUGAUACACUUUCAAAGAGUCGGAUUGUUUGGGAAUGCAGUCCAAAAUGGGUGGUAAGUUUCAUCUAAAGCUAAAUAUUGGCGAGAGACCGAUAGCGAACAAGUACCGUGAGGGAAAGAUGAAAAGAACUUUGAAAAGAGAGUUAAACAGUACGUGAAAUUGUCAAAAGGGAAGCGCUUGACACCAGUGUUGUUUUCUCGAAAAUCAAUUAAAAAUGGCAUCGAUUUUGUAUUGUUGAGACCUUAAAAGCUCACUGUACAUUUUUCGUGUCUUUUUUAAUGCACUUUUCGUUUAACAAGUCAACAUCAGUUUCUUUUGUUGUAAAAGGGUCAUUGGAAGGUGGCUUUCUUUUCGGAGAAAGUGUUUAUAGCCUUUGGCCUCUGCAAUCGGAGAGACUGAGGUCUGCAGCGUAGACUCUUCGGGGUUAGAUACAUUUGUGCUAAGUUAUAGCUUUUUAUAGACAACUUGUUGACUAUAAUUAGUCUUGUAGCUUACUCGCUUAUGCUAUUUUACCUACGCUUAGGAUGUUGAAGAUGUAGCACAUCAU
This 777-nucleotide ribosomal RNA is filed under the name uncultured Neocallimastigales. Its description in RNAcentral is "partial large subunit ribosomal RNA". It matches the Rfam family "Eukaryotic large subunit ribosomal RNA", at positions 23 to 620 of the family's 3401-position model. Lineage: Eukaryota; Fungi; Neocallimastigomycota; Neocallimastigomycetes; Neocallimastigales. The record is from RNAcentral.